Molecule: ribosomal RNA, 497 nt
Filed under: uncultured bacterium
Lineage: Bacteria
Description: partial 16S ribosomal RNA
Rfam family: Bacterial small subunit ribosomal RNA
Source: RNAcentral
GAUGAACGCUGGCGGCGUGCCUAAUACAUGCAAGUCGAGCGAACAGAUAAGGAGCUUGCUCCUUUGACGUUAGCGGCGGACGGGUGAGUAACGCGUGGGUAACCUACCUAUAAGACUGGAAUAACUCCGGGAAACCGGGGCUAGUGCCGGAUAACAUUUAGAACCGCAUGGUUCUAAAGUGAAAGAUGGUUUUGCUAUCACUUAUAGAUGGACCCGCGCCGUAUUAGCUAGUUGGUAAGGUAACGGCUUACCAAGGCAACGAUACGUAGCCGACCUGAGAGGGUGAUCGGCCACACUGGAACUGAGACACGGUCCAGACUCCUACGGGAGGCAGCAGUAGGGAAUCUUCCGCAAUGGGCGAAAGCCUGACGGAGCAACGCCGCGUGAGUGAUGAAGGUCUUCGGAUCGUAAAACUCUGUUAUUAGGGAAGAACAAAUGUGUAAGUAACUGUGCACGUCUUGACGGUACCUAAUCAGAAAGCCACGGCUAACUACGUG